Molecule: long non-coding RNA, 1910 nt
Organism: Peromyscus californicus insignis
Lineage: Eukaryota; Metazoa; Chordata; Mammalia; Rodentia; Cricetidae
Exons: 3
Source: RefSeq, a predicted model, not a curated record
UUAAUGGAUCUUGAGCUGGGUAAAGCAUGAGGCGACCAGUCAUGUUUUUGGAGACACUGUUAGCAAAAGCUCUUUAGCUGUUGCUCAUAUCCUUUGGAAAGGAGGGAGGGGAGUGAGGGCCAACCACAGCAGGGGGAGUCGGGGAGACAGGACGGAUUCCUCUGACCUGAGUGUGACGGGGCCUUUUGAAAGCGGCUCAUAAAUGUACACCCCAGAGUCCCUCUCCGAUUACCGCCUCCUGCUCCACAGGACUUUCGGUGAAUUCCGGUUGUCCCUGCUCACACCUGAAGCUCAAGGCUGUGAAGAAGAAGAGGAGGUAUUGCGAGGUUCCCACUUGCCCCCACUGUCUGCUUUCUCAUUUUCUUUGGUCUUUGCUCAGCCACCAUCUCCUUAGGCUUCUGCCAGUCUCUUCUGUCAGCUGAGGCAGCCCUCCAUCCCGGGUGACAGUGUUGUGAGCAAGGUUCAUGAUCUUGCCCAGGUCUGUGCAAAAGCAGAGAAACUCGGAAAGCAUGGACACCAAAGUUCCUUAACUCAGGUCUGUUAGAACCUCGCCCUUGAAGUGACAUGGUGAGCCCACUUGGUGGGAGUUCAUAGAAGUACAUUUCUGCAAGUCUAUCAAGGAUCCUAUAACCUCAGUUGUUUCUGGGAGAGCCAUCUAAGUACCUAUGGGAGGGGGCAGGAUUGGAAGUGUCAAAUCCUCUGCAGGCUGUGUAGAAACUCCCCUGUCGUGGAGCAGAAGAGGAUGGAGUAUUCCCAAGACCCCUUGUCCAGGAAGUCUUCAGGGUGGAUCCCAAAUCAUUACUUUCAUGCUUCUGAUGCGAUGAAGCCAGGCAUUUUCUCUCGUCUUUUCUUCCCUUCUCUCUCUCUUCCUUUUUUGUCUCUCUUUUGUCUCCCUGUUCCCUUUCUCUGUGAAUGGACCGCAUGUUUGCUCUGGGCUCCAGGGUCGUGCACACCAGUCUAGAACUGAAGAUGCAUUCCACGGUUAUUUAAAACAAUAGUUGAUGCCUUUUCCCAUUAAUUUCCUAGAGUUAUGAUUGAAAUGGCAUCACUGGAUACAGUCUCAAAAUCCUCCCCCCAGCCUAUUUGUGGCCAGUUCUGAAAAUUCUCAGCCUUCUAUAUUUAUGUAACCCACUAUUUCAGUGCGGUGUCAAAGCAACUGGGACAACACCCUCGCUCGGCUGGUGACAGAGGAGACACACCGGCCAGUUUAGAGGGUUUGCAUCAAUAUUUCAAGGACCAUAAGGAGGGUGGCUGCAGGGACUGCCUUGAUAGAAUCUGCAGAGCUUCAUGAGAUCAACAAUCCCUACAAAAACAAAAAGAAACAAAACAAACAAAAAAAUAAAACCCCACUUCUUCUAGCAAAUUCUUCUCUCCCUCUUUCCAUAUUUUCUCCUUUUCCUCCCCUCCCUCUGACAGGAUUCUGAGCUUGCCCCCUGUUUCUUAGCUUGGAAAAAUUUCACCGAUGGAACACGCAGGAGCUAUACACAUGGAGAAGAGUGGAGUUGUCCACUGGACAGACAGUUUUCCAUUAACUGAGGCCGUAAUGGAGAAGACUGAGCAGAUUUCCCAAGCACUGUCUGGACCCUGGACCCUCUUCUCCCAGGCGCUUUGUUUACUGUCAAUGCUUUUUUACACCCUUACCUGAGUAUGUCAUGGUCUCCUUCAUCAAUGAUGCUUUUUCAUUCUUCCCGAAGGGCCACAUUUUCUCUGUAUUUUCCUCCGACCUUAAUUCUCAAUCCUCCCUGUAGAGCAGACUCGAGACUUCAGCUUUGUAGCGUCAGUAUUAUGCGCACCCUUUGAUCUAGGGAUUCUCCUAGAUCUAUUUCUUUAUGCUGGUGUGUGUGUAUUCAGGCAUAACGGUAACCAUCAGCGCCUCAGCGACGAGUGAAACAUUUGGUGAAUAAAUUAUA